RNAcentral lists this ribosomal RNA (365 nucleotides) under uncultured bacterium. Its description in RNAcentral is "bacterial SSU rRNA". It matches the Rfam family "Bacterial small subunit ribosomal RNA", at positions 527 to 896 of the family's 1533-position model. The record is from RNAcentral.
GGAGGAUCCAAGCGUUAUCCGGAAUCAUUGGGUUUAAAGGGUCCGUAGGCGGUUUGGUAAGUCAGUGGUGAAAGCCCAUCGCUCAACGGUGGAACGGCCAUUGAUACUGCCAGACUUGAAUUAUUAGGAAGUAACUAGAAUAUGUAGUGUAGCGGUGAAAUGCUUAGAGAUUACAUGGAAUACCAAUUGCGAAGGCAGGUUACUACUAAUUGAUUGACGCUGAUGGACGAAAGCGUGGGUAGCGAACAGGAUUAGAUACCCUGGUAGUCCACGCCGUAAACGAUGGAUACUAGCUGUUGGGAGCAAUCUCAGUGGCUAAGCGAAAGUGAUAAGUAUCCCACCUGGGGAGUACGUUCGCAAGAAUG